RNAcentral lists this ribosomal RNA (468 nucleotides) under uncultured bacterium. Its description in RNAcentral is "partial 16S ribosomal RNA". It matches the Rfam family "Bacterial small subunit ribosomal RNA", at positions 28 to 507 of the family's 1533-position model. The record is from RNAcentral.
GACGAACGCUGGCGGCGUGCCUAACACAUGCAAGUCGAACGGAAAGGCCCUGCUUUUGUGGGGUGCUCGAGUGGCGAACGGGUGAGUAACACGUGAGUAACCUGUCCCUGCCUGUGGGAUAACUUCAGGAAACUGGGGCUCAUACCGGAUAGGAGCUCCUGCUGCAUGGUGGGGGUUGGUAAGUUUCGGCGGUUGGGGAUGGACUCGCGGCUUAUCAGCUUGUUGGUGGGGUAGUGGCUUACCAAGGCUUUGAAGGGUAGCCGGCCUGAGAGGGUGACCGGCCACAUUGGGAUUGAGAUACGACCCAGACUCGUACGGGAGGCAGCAGUGGGGAAUAUUGCACAAGGGGCGGAAGCAUGAUGCAGCAACGCCGCGUGCGGGAUGACGGCCUUCGGGUUGUAAACCGCAUUCGCCUGUGACGAAGCGUGAGUGACGGUAAUGGGUGAAGAAGCACCGGCUAACUACGUG